This 691-nucleotide ribosomal RNA is filed under the name Tremella cinnabarina. RNAcentral describes it as "LSU rRNA". It matches the Rfam family "Eukaryotic large subunit ribosomal RNA", at positions 44 to 725 of the family's 3401-position model. The record is from RNAcentral. Lineage: Eukaryota; Fungi; Basidiomycota; Tremellomycetes; Tremellales; Tremellaceae.
CAAUAAGCGGAGGAAAAGAAACUAACAAGGAUUCCCCUAGUAACGGCGAGCGAACCGGGAAGAGCUCAAAUUUGUAAUCUGGCGCCCCUCGGGCUCAGAGUUGUAAUCUACAGAGGCGUUUUCCGUGCCGGCCCGUGCCCAACUUUGCUUGGAACAGUGAGAUCAAAGAGGGUGAAAAUCCCGUACUUGACACGACCGCCGGUGCUAUGUGAUACGUCUUCUAAGAGUCGAGUUGUUUGGGAAUGCAGCUCAAAACGGGUGGUAAAUUCCAUCUAAGGCUAAAUAUUGGCGAGAGACCGAUAGCGAACAAGUACCGUGAGGGAAAGAUGAAAAGCACUUUGGAAAGAGAGUUAAACAGCACGUGAAAUUGUUGAAAGGGAAACGAUUGAAGUCAGUCGUGUCCGAGGGGUUCAGCCGGUCCUGCCGGUGCAUUCCUCUCGGACGGGUCAACAUCGGUUUUGUCCGGCGGACAAGGGCAUGGGGAAAGUGGCACCUUCGGGUGUGUUAUAGCCCCGUGUCGCAUACGUCGGACGAGACCGAGGAACGCAGCUCGCCUCACGGCCGGGGUUCGCCCACGUACGAGCUUAGGAUGUUGACAUAAUGGCUUUAAACGACCCGUCUUGAAACACGGACCAAGGAGUCUAACAUAUCUGCGAGUGUUUGGGUGUCAAACCCGAGCGCGUAAUGAAAG